Molecule: long non-coding RNA, 665 nt
Organism: Thamnophis elegans (Western terrestrial garter snake)
Lineage: Eukaryota; Metazoa; Chordata; Lepidosauria; Squamata; Natricidae
Exons: 3
Source: RefSeq, a predicted model, not a curated record
UACAAUCAUGAAUGUUAAUCAUUUAAGGGAAUAGCAUAGUUGAGGACUAUGCUAAGUGGAUGAGAGAGGCUCCUUUUCCUGCCAACUCUGCACAUCCCUUUCCCUUCUCCCACCCCUGAGCUUGUUCCCUCCCUCUCUCCCGUUUCUCUGAGUGCCUGGAGCGAAGCAGUUCUAGACUCGCUGCCCAGUUCACCAUCCCACGCUGGGCCGAUUCCCCCGUGGCAGAAGGUAGGGCGCAGGCAGGUGGACCCCUGAGUGGGCGGCGCCUUUAGAGAACGGGAGGAGCUGCACGGGGACGGUAGAAGCAAUAAGCGCUUCCAGCAAAGGCCUGGCUGGGGUCGUUCCGGGGAGGGAGGCCGGGUCCACCAGCGUGGCCGCCGGCGAUCACGGAUCUUUUCCUGCGCGCAUCUCUUGGGAAGCGGAGUCCGGGCGAGGAAGAGAGCUCCACGUUUCCCAUUGAGAGCAAGAUCCAGGAGGCUUGGAGUUCAAUGGCUGCGAAACCGGCGGGCAGAAAAGGGGGCGAUCCCUCCCAGGUGCUGUUGUUUCGGGGAGUUGCUCUGGACGAGCCUCCUCCGGAGAGAGCAUCGGACAUUCCCAUGGCCUCGUCUUCAUCUCCUGGAGCCUCAGUUCUUUAUAAUGGAGGAUUAACAGUGGUUGAACAUCCA